RNAcentral lists this ribosomal RNA (294 nucleotides) under uncultured Acaulosporaceae. RNAcentral describes it as "partial small subunit ribosomal RNA". It matches the Rfam family "Eukaryotic small subunit ribosomal RNA", at positions 569 to 865 of the family's 1831-position model. The record is from RNAcentral. Lineage: Eukaryota; Fungi; Glomeromycota; Glomeromycetes; Diversisporales; Acaulosporaceae.
AGCAGCCGCGGUAAUUCCAGCUCCAAUAGCGUAUAUUAAAGUUGUUGCAGUUAAAAAGCUCGUAGUUGAAUUUCGGGAUUUGUCCAUUGGUCGGGCCUCACGGUCCGCACUGGUGUGAUGGGUUCCUACCUUCUGAAUAACCAGCAUGCCAUUUAGUUGGUGCGCCGGGGAAGCAGAGCUAUUACCUUGAAAAAAUUAGAGUGCUUAAAGCAGGCUAUUGCUUGAAUAGAUUAGCAUGGAAUAAUAAAAUAGGACGGCAUGGUUCUAUUUUGUUGGUUUCUAGGAUCACCGUAA